RNAcentral lists this ribosomal RNA (499 nucleotides) under uncultured bacterium. RNAcentral describes it as "partial 16S ribosomal RNA". It matches the Rfam family "Bacterial small subunit ribosomal RNA", at positions 30 to 523 of the family's 1533-position model. The record is from RNAcentral.
AUUGAACGCUGGCGGCAUGCCUUACACAUGCAAGUCGAACGGUAACAGGGAGCUUGCUCCGCUGACGAGUGGCGAACGGGUGAGUAAAGCAUCGGAACGUACCAUUGAGUGGGGGAUAACGUAGCGAAAGUUACGCUAAUACCGCAUAUUCUCUCCGGAGGAAAGCAGGGGAUCGCAAGACCUUGUGCUCUUUGAGCGGCCGAUGUCAGAUUAGCUAGUUGGUGGGGUAAGGCCUACCAAGGCGACGAUCUGUAGCGGGUCUGAGAGGAUGAUCCGCCACACUGGGCCUGAGGCACGGCCCAGACUCCUACGGGAGGCAGCAGUGGGGAAUUUUGGACAAUGGGGGCAACCCUGAUCCAGCCAUGCCGCGUGAGUGAAGAAGGCCUUCGGGUUGUAAAGCUCUUUCGGCCGGGAAGAAAUCGCAAAGGCUAAUAUCCUUUGUGGAUGACGGUACCGGAAUAAGAAGCACCGGCUAACUACGUGCCAGCCGCCGCCGUAA